Molecule: long non-coding RNA, 429 nt
Organism: Vitis riparia (riverbank grape)
Lineage: Eukaryota; Viridiplantae; Streptophyta; Magnoliopsida; Vitales; Vitaceae
Exons: 2
Source: RefSeq, a predicted model, not a curated record
UUGAAACGGCCAGAACGCGGGGAGAAGAAGGAAAGGAAUAGUGGCUGUGGAAUUAGGGCACUCGCCGGAUCUUUGACCGGCCGUUUGGACGGCCAAACGAUCUCCGUUUUGGCCCAAAUUUGGAGGGAGUACUCUAUUCGACUAGAGGAACAAGCCUACGGUGACUGAUUUCGUUUUUAACGGCCAAAUUUUCAGAUCUGAGAUGCAGAUAUCUCUCCUGAGGAUCCACAAGUGGGGCAGGGAGGACUUCAGGAUGCUCCUGGAGCGGCCUAGUGGAGCAUAGCAUUUUUGUUAUUGUGUUUCUUUUUGGAUUUUGGGAUUUGUUUUAGUGAUUAUGACUCAUGGAUUUGUUAUGAAGCUUUAUUUUGAUUAAUUUGUUAAUUGGGAAUUUUUAUUUUGGAUUAUAAUGAAUAUUUAUUUAAUCUUGUU